This 205-nucleotide transfer-messenger RNA is filed under the name Synergistaceae bacterium. RNAcentral's name for it is "partial transfer-messenger RNA". It matches the Rfam family "transfer-messenger RNA", at positions 161 to 374 of the family's 374-position model. Rfam says of the family: Bacterial tmRNA, also known as 10Sa RNA or SsrA, is named for its dual tRNA and mRNA-like properties. The record is from RNAcentral. Lineage: Bacteria; Thermotogati; Synergistota; Synergistia; Synergistales; Synergistaceae.
GUCGUUGGAACCCGGAAGGGCGUCACAAAGACGGCUGGAAUCACGGCAGCGCCAUCUGGCCGCGGUUCGAGACUCUAGGGAUGGUUAGGAAGUUCAUAUCCUGUCCGAGGGAGCUGAACCUCCGAAUUUAAAUCACGGACUACGCUCGUAGUACAUCUCGAUUGUCCCUUGUUGGACCGGAGUUCGAAUCUCCGCGCCUCCACCA